CGUAGGCUUCAAUAUUUCGACGCUGAAAUACAAACGAAUUACAGAUUAUUCAGAGACAGACCGCAGCGGUUAAAGACGCGAUCAUACGGCAAUCACGGAGCCAGGGGCCAGUUCUCUUCCAAGGCAAACGGAUCUACUUUGACCAGGACUACUCCCCCGGCUUGCAGCAGAAACGGAUGAGGGUUCACAAAGUUAUAAAGCAAGGACAUUCUGGCGAGAUGUCUGUACCCAGCACAAUUGAGGAUUAAGCUGAACACUGGCGAGAAAACUUUUCCAACACUAACGAGAGCGGCACACAGCUCAAGGAGCUGGGAUCGAUGUGAGAUGCGGGGAGAGGGAGCGCAUCGAGGAGGACCUGAAAGCUGGAUGGAUGAACCAAGAGAGGAGAGGGAGGGAAACGAUCUUAAGGCUUUUCGGCAAGGAGAAGACUAAAGUGACUUCACCACAAAGGUGGACUAAAGUUAGCUGCAAUCAAAACAGUGAGGUGGACCUGUGUCUCCCGAUACCUGGGUCUUUGAUGGAAGGGAAGGGAAGAUACCCAUACGAAUUCCUCUUUGAUACUGCUUAGUCACCACUGCCUAUUUGCUUCCUAGCUCCUCUGAGGAGCAGGCGGUUUACCAGAGCCAGCACACCAGCUCCAGACAGCAAUACUCACAGCUUGAAUGUCUGUGGGAACCAAGGAUGGGUUGAUAAACAAGGCGCUUAUUGAGACAAGCCCCCACCCUGAGUCUCGAUCCCCGGGUUCCUAUCUGCUUCGGCCACCAAACCCUUAACAACCUCCUUCAUCCCUCCAUCUCUCUAUCCUCGAUGCAGCCAUCAUAAAUACUCCUUAUUAUUCGAAUAAACUACCUUUUCAUACCUCA
This is a long non-coding RNA of Micropterus salmoides (largemouth bass), 863 nucleotides long. RefSeq lists it as uncharacterized. The transcript has 3 exons. Lineage: Eukaryota; Metazoa; Chordata; Actinopteri; Centrarchiformes; Centrarchidae. The record is from RefSeq and is a predicted model, not a curated record.